Long non-coding RNA from Neofelis nebulosa (Clouded leopard), 1914 nucleotides. RefSeq lists it as uncharacterized. The record is from RefSeq and is a predicted model, not a curated record. Lineage: Eukaryota; Metazoa; Chordata; Mammalia; Carnivora; Felidae. The transcript has 3 exons.
AACCGACUGAGCCACCCAGGCGCCCUGGAAUCCUUUUUUGAAAAGAGAUUGGCAUAGAGGAAAAUUGCUAAAACUACGUCAGCCUUCUUCCCCCUAGGAGGAAGAGAACAGCGCCUUAGCUUCUUGCCCACUUCAGCUCGAUGUGGCUGUGUGGAGCCCCAACUCAACACCUUUCAAAACCUGCUGUACGUACGGACAACAAAUUCAGGGUCACUCUCAGAUGCCAGAGUAGCAACGGCCUCUGCACUCAGCUCUCAGAAACAACUCUCCCUCCUUUCCAAAUUCAGGAGCAACAAUUCCCAGACUCUCGAGGUGCCCCUGUGGACUCAUCUUCGGGUUUUGACAAGUCCUUGUAAACUAGACUGACUCUUGGCUUGAGUGGGCACAGCAAACGGUGCAUCGCAGGCAAAGGAGACUGAAAAGAAAGAAAACUCCCACAUUCCUCAUUGAAGGCUCUGUGAGUCCUAAAGAGUUCCUGGUCUUCCUGUUUAAUUCUCCUGCGUUCUGGGAAAUAUGUGCGAUGUAAAACUUAGUGAUAAAGAGACGUGACAGACUUCUGAAGAGGUGACAGAAGCUCAGCCUCCAAAAGGCGGUCUGCAGGAUUUUUGUGACCCUCAUUCCACGUGGGUGACUACGGUGCUCUGCCCACGUUAACAUCCAAGACCCACAAACGACAGCCGGAGAGAAUGGUCUCCGAUAAGAGUGACGUUCUCUGCCUGGAGCCAUCUGUAGGCUGAAGUAUGUUGAUAAGCACGCCAUAAAUUGUAACCUUAACAAGCCAGCCUCCAGUUUUAGAGGGAAGCCAGUGCAGCCCACUGCAUAGAUAAGAGCUCAUUCUCAAGUCCAGAGAGGAAAGGUUACGAGCAGCUCUCUCUUUUCUCCCUGAGCUAGCUGCUGUACAAAGGAAACUGGCGAGGCAGUGACAGUGGCCACCAAAAUUGUUUCCAUUUUCUGCAAAUCACUCUCCCCAAGAGUGGAGACCCUUUCCAAGUCACAUAACCGUGUCAAGUUUGGGUCAUUAAUCACUGUCCCCGGCACUGGAGGAUCCUUUGGUUAAUGGUGUUACUUCCUGAGCCAGGCUUCUCACUAUCUAUGGGCAGGAUUUAUGCCUCAUUAUUCUCUUGGCUAAAGAGUUCCUCAAAUUUCCUGAGGCUUUCCUCUCCCCACAGGAUGAGGAGGAAGAGGACAACUCCCAUUCUGGGUCGUGCUUUGUUUCUCCCUUUGAAUUGUGAGUGAUCUAUGCUGCUUCUCCCUCUUAGCCGUCACUAUAACUGAUGGGCCUCUAGAUUUAUUGGUUCAAUUAGGGCUCUAUCUACAUGACAGCAACUGGUGGGUUUGCUCUAGUUCCCGACAAAAGUUGUGAAUUGGGUAGUGAAAAGUAUCGAUCCAUUUGCUGAUCAGUUGAAUGUAAUCUGUCCGAGUAACCUCUGAACGGUGAGUAAAUAAUCCAGGGAUCAUAUACAACAGUGUUAUGGAAAGGAAACUUUUCAAAAUAUUGUCUUUUCCACCACAUAGUGCUGUAGUUUGGCAAUUCUGAUCUUGUUUCUGCCAAGUCGAUAUAGCAAAAUGUAUAUUAUUUUCUGUUAACCAGCUAUCAGGCUAAGUAAAAUGUGAAUUUUGAGAGUUCAUUCCUAACAACUCCUUUUAAUGAACACCUGGUCAACCACGUUACUCAGAUCUGAUGUCAUAGACUGCACAACCUCAGGGAACCAUUUAGAUUAUUUGACUGGAAAAGUAAUUGAUUUGAAACCAACACAAAUGCCAAAGUAGUAGAUGUAGGUAGCCUCUCUGUUUAUCAUUUCCUUGGCCUCCCUCAUCAACUGAACCCCAUUAUGUUGAGGUAUUUGGUGACGAUGUGCUUCACGGGUCCUCCCCUGUCCCAGGAGUGAACGUUGACAAGGCACAUCCACUGCU